CACAUGGCGACUGCGCAGUCACACCUAGGUUCACGCUUCGGGCCACGCCGAGAUUGUACCUCUGGUUGCUGCGUAAAGGCGAUCGAACGUUGUAUUUACUAGUACCGGCAGUUUUAAAGUGGAGGUACAUUAAGAACGAAUGUGGAAAGGUUCAAGGGCCUGGAAUCCUGCGGCUAGUACAGUCCUGCUGCGCCCUCUGCCCCAGUGCUGUAUCCAGAAAUUGCGCGUUAACGAUCACGUUCCAAUUGAAUUAGUUGCGCACUAGUCGCUGAACCAAAUGUACUUAAAAUUUAUCGCACUACGUGAAGAAGAUUUCCCCAAUGCGUUUUUACAAUCAUGAAACGUGAUUUCGCCUUCUUUUCUUUGGAAACAUACUCAUCCAGAAAAAUGACUAUUUCCUAAUCACCCACGAUUCCCCCCUAUCCGUUAUUUAAAUUUGAUUAAACAAUUCCGGUGCAUGUAAUUACAAAACAUAUUUCAUAAGUCUCAUUUCGACGUCCACUGGUCUCAAUUCAUCCAAGCAAAGGAACAAACUAUACGUAGUCUUUGUUCCCGAAACAUGUACAAUCAUUCAUGAUAUUUGUUUCAUGGAAAUUUCAUCAACGAACCAUAAAUCACGUUUACUCAUGAUUUCCCUAUAAACGUAAAUUUCGAAUAAUCGAGCCAUUCAAAUUCGAAAGUGUUUAGGAGUAUUUUAGGAGAAAACGUAAUGUUUCACAAUGUCUUUUUAAUUAACAUCGGUCGAGCCGCGUAAUUUAUAUUCCGUAACAUAUGUAAUGUUACACUCCACCGUAUAGACGUUCUAUGUCCUAAAUAAUGUAAAAUCACAUUAACUUUACCCAACCCAAUUGAUAACCCCAUCACCAAUACCAUUUAAAAGCGGUCAUUUGACCAGCCAAUGGUACGUUUACUAUCCGGGGUAUCAAAAUGUUAACCCCGCGGAAUUUAGCACCGCAUUUCCCCCGGGGUAUAAUGGCUGAUUAGAUAAUCAUGAUAUUGGGAUCGAUGGAAAAUAAAAAACACGUGAAAAAGUA
Orussus abietinus is the source of this 1034-nucleotide long non-coding RNA. RefSeq lists it as uncharacterized. The transcript is spliced from 3 exons. Lineage: Eukaryota; Metazoa; Arthropoda; Insecta; Hymenoptera; Orussidae. The record is from RefSeq and is a predicted model, not a curated record.